ACGGUUAAGCCGGGAAAACAACUGAUGGUUUUAGUAGGGAAGAAAACCCUUGGGGAAAACGCCCAGAGUCUGCGUAUAUUCCGGCUCGAGCAUCCUGGCGCCCGUUUUGGGGAGGGAGGGGCAACAGGGAGAGUUUGGAU
This 140-nucleotide long non-coding RNA is filed under the name Propithecus coquereli (Coquerel's sifaka). RNAcentral's name for it is "WT1 antisense RNA conserved region 2 (ENSPCOG00000003464.1)". It matches the Rfam family "WT1 antisense RNA conserved region 2". The record is from RNAcentral. Lineage: Eukaryota; Metazoa; Chordata; Mammalia; Primates; Indriidae.